Molecule: ribosomal RNA, 492 nt
Filed under: uncultured bacterium
Lineage: Bacteria
Description: partial 16S ribosomal RNA
Rfam family: Bacterial small subunit ribosomal RNA
Source: RNAcentral
AGUGAACGCUGGCGGUAGGCCUAACACAUGCAAGUCGAACGGCAGCACAGUAAGAGCUUGCUCUUACGGGUGGCGAGUGGCGGACGGGUGAGGAAUACAUCGGAAUCUACUUUUUCGUGGGGGAUAACGUAGGGAAACUUACGCUAAUACCGCAUACGACCUACGGGUGAAAGCAGGGGAUCUUCGGACCUUGCGCGAUUGAAUGAGCCGAUGUCGGAUUAGUUAGUUGGCGGGGUAAAGGCCCACCAAGGCGACGAUCCGUAGCUGGUCUGAGAGGAUGAUAAGCCGCACUGGAACUGGGACACGGUCCAGACUCCUACGGGAGGCAGCAGUGGGGAAUAUUGGACAAUGGGCGCAAGCCUGAUCCAGCCAUACCGCGUGGGUGAAGAAGGCCUUCGGGUUGUAAAGCCCUUUUGUUGGGAAAGAAAAGCAGCAGGUUAAUACCCCGCUGUUCUGACGGUAACCAAAGAAUAAGCACCGGCUAACUUCGUG